Molecule: transfer RNA, 64 nt
Filed under: Cavia porcellus (domestic guinea pig)
Lineage: Eukaryota; Metazoa; Chordata; Mammalia; Rodentia; Caviidae
Rfam family: tRNA
About the family: Transfer RNA (tRNA) molecules are approximately 80 nucleotides in length.
Source: Rfam by way of RNAcentral
AGGGAUUUAGCUCAAUGGCAUAAGCGCCUGCCUGACAAGCAUGAAGUUGUGAGUUCAAUCCCUA